Molecule: long non-coding RNA, 252 nt
Filed under: Erythranthe guttata (spotted monkey flower)
Lineage: Eukaryota; Viridiplantae; Streptophyta; Magnoliopsida; Lamiales; Phrymaceae
Description: long non-coding RNA (EGUT_LNC002382)
Source: RNAcentral
UAUAUUGCCCUAAUUUGAGCUGUCUUAGGUUGAGUUGGCAUGUACAUAGUUGACCUAGUUAUGAAUUGCUUGUUCCAAUGAAUUUAUAUUGCUUGUUCCAAUUAAUAUAAAUAUCAUCAUCUUAGUCUAAUUGUCACUAAACUUGGAAUAGAAAAUACAAGCAAUCUUUUUGCCUCAAAUCGAAAUCGAGUUUAUGAACAAUUCUUAUUAUUCAAAGGGACUUUUCGAAUUGAAUAGAUUUGCAGGUGUUUG